UACGUAGGGUGCAGGCGUUAAUCGGAAUUACUGGGCGUAAAGCGUGCGCAGGCGGUCUUUUAAGUCAGAUGUGAAAUCCUCGGGCUUAACCUGGGAACUGCGUUUGAAACUGAAAGGCUUGAGUGUGGCAGAGGGGGGCGGAAUUCCAGGUGUAGCAGGUGAAAAUGCGUAGAUAUCUGGAGGAACACCGAUGGCGAAGGCAGCCCCCUGGGUUAACACUGACGCUCCAUGCACGAAAGGCGUGGGGAGCAAACAGG
RNAcentral lists this ribosomal RNA (257 nucleotides) under uncultured bacterium. Its description in RNAcentral is "partial 16S ribosomal RNA". It matches the Rfam family "Bacterial small subunit ribosomal RNA", at positions 524 to 776 of the family's 1533-position model. The record is from RNAcentral.